AACGAACGCUGGCGGCAUGCCUAACACAUGCAAGUCGAACGAGAUCUUCGGGUCUAGUGGCGCAAGGGUGCGUAACGCGUGGGAAUCUGCCCGUUGGUUCGGAAUAACAGUUGGAAACGACUGCUAAUACCGGAUGAUGACGAAAGUCCAAAGAUUUAUCGCAGGAGGAUGAGCCAGCGUAGGAUUAGCCAGUUGGUGUGGUAAAGGCGCACCAAGGCGACGAUCCUUAGAUGGUCUGAGAGGUUGAUCAGCCACACUGGGACUGAGACACGGCCCAGACUCCUACGGGAGGCAGCAGUGGGGAAUAUUGGACAAUGGGCGAAAGCCUGAUCCAGCAAUGCCGCGUGAGUGAUGAAGGCCUUAGGGUUGUAAAGCUCUUUUACCCGGGAUGAUAAUGACAGUACCGGGAGAAUAAGCUCCGGCUAACUCCGUGCCAGCCGCCGCCGUAA
Molecule: ribosomal RNA, 449 nt
Filed under: uncultured bacterium
Lineage: Bacteria
Description: partial 16S ribosomal RNA
Rfam family: Bacterial small subunit ribosomal RNA
Source: RNAcentral